CCUUGUCGGGGCGCACCAGGCGCGAAACCUUUGCGAUAGGCGAAAGCCUGACAGGGUUACUUUGAGUCAUUCCCGCUAAGGGGAUCUUGUGGCACCUGUAAAAAUCGUGCAGAAUAAGGGGUGGGCAAGCCGGGUGUCAGCCGCCGCGGUAAUACUAGCACUCGGAGUGGUAGGGAUGAUUAUUGGGCCUAAAGCAUCUUUAGCUGACCACCCAAGUCCUCCGGUAAUUUCACACGGUUAACGAGAGGUCUGUGGAAGAUACUUAGUGGCUAGGAGCUGGGAGAGGCAAGAGCUACUCAAUGUGUAGGGGUAAAAUCCUGUGAUCCCUUUAAGACCUCCAGGGGGGAAGGCGACUCGCCAGAACGCGCUUGACGGCGAGGGAAUAAAGAUGGGGGCUCGAACCGGAUGAGAUACCCGGGUAGUCCCAGCCGUUAACGAUGCAGACCUCGGUGAUGGGAUGGCCUCGAACCAUCCCAGUGCCGCAGGGAAGCCGUUAAGUUUGCCGCCUGGGGAGUACGGUCGCAAGACUGAAACUUAAAGGAAUCGGCGGGGAGCACAAGGGCGAAUCGC
RNAcentral lists this ribosomal RNA (570 nucleotides) under uncultured archaeon. Its description in RNAcentral is "bacterial SSU rRNA". It matches the Rfam family "Archaeal small subunit ribosomal RNA", at positions 321 to 896 of the family's 1478-position model. The record is from RNAcentral.